GACGAACGCUGGCGGCGUGCCUAAUACAUGCAAGUCGAGCGAGCGGAACCAACAGAUUUACUUCGGUAAUGACGUUGGGAAAGCGAGCGGCGGAUGGGUGAGUAACACGUGGGGAACCUGCCCCUAAGUCUGGGAUACCAUUUGGAAACGACUGCUAAUACCGCAUAAGCCCACAGCUCGGCAUCGAGCAGAGGGAAAGGAGUGAUCCGCUUUGAGAUGGCCUCGCGUCCGAUUAGCUGGUUGGUGAGGUAACGGCCCACCAAGGCGACGAUCGGUAGCCGGACUGAGAGGUUGAACGGCCACAUUGGGACUGAGACACGGCCCAG
RNAcentral lists this ribosomal RNA (326 nucleotides) under uncultured bacterium. RNAcentral's name for it is "bacterial SSU rRNA". It matches the Rfam family "Bacterial small subunit ribosomal RNA", at positions 28 to 334 of the family's 1533-position model. The record is from RNAcentral.